UUUAAUGAGACUUAUGAUCAAAAUAACCAUGAUCCAAGUUCAACAGAAGUCAAUAAAGGUCAAAAAAAUAUAAAAUGCAUUAAAAACAAUUUUAAAAGGGAAAUAAAAGAUAAAAUCCAUAAAGCCCUUCAAAACACCAAAUAAAUGGCCAAGAAAAUUAUGGAAGAUUGGAAAUAAAAUAGGAAGCAUAAAAUAAUUUUUUCAGAAUUUAAAAAUGUAUAAAAGUAUUUUUAAACCGAUUAAAAUAAAUGAGAAAAGAGAGAAUUCAA
RNAcentral lists this long non-coding RNA (269 nucleotides) under Lathyrus oleraceus (garden pea). RNAcentral describes it as "Pisum sativum (pea) long non-coding RNA (PSAT_LNC031624)". Lineage: Eukaryota; Viridiplantae; Streptophyta; Magnoliopsida; Fabales; Fabaceae. The record is from RNAcentral.